GCUUGAUGAUGACCUCUUGCACACUGAGCGAACUGUAGUUGGUCCUUGGUUUGCAUUUGUGAUGUGAGCUUUUCAAGACGGGGCUGAGAGCAGC
RNAcentral lists this small nucleolar RNA (94 nucleotides) under Lepisosteus oculatus (spotted gar). RNAcentral describes it as "Small nucleolar RNA SNORD21 (ENSLOCG00000020177.1)". The record is from RNAcentral. Lineage: Eukaryota; Metazoa; Chordata; Actinopteri; Semionotiformes; Lepisosteidae.